UAGGGAAUCUUCGGCAAUGGACGAAAGUCUGACCGAGCAACGCCGCGUGAGUGAAGAAGGUUUUCGGAUCGUAAAACUCUGUUGUUAGAGAAGAACAAGGACGUUAGUAACUGAACGUCCCCUGACGGUAUCUAACCAGAAAGCCACGGCUAACUACGUGCCAGCAGUCGCGGUAAUACGAAGGUGGCAAGCGUUGUCCGGAUUUAUUGGGCGUAAAGCGAGCGCAGGCGGUUUCUUAAGUCUGAUGUGAAAGCCCCCGGCUCAACCGGGGAGGGUCAUUGGAAACUGGGGGACUUGAGUGCAUAAGAGGAGAGUGGAAUUCCAUGUGUAGCGGUGAAAUGCGUAGAUAUAUGGAGGAACACCAGUGGCGAAGGCGGCUCUCUGGUCUGUAACUGACGCUGAGGCUCGAAAGCGUGGGGAGCAAACAGG
Molecule: ribosomal RNA, 429 nt
Filed under: Gemmatimonadota bacterium
Lineage: Bacteria; Pseudomonadati; Gemmatimonadota
Description: Gemmatimonadetes bacterium partial 16S ribosomal RNA
Rfam family: Bacterial small subunit ribosomal RNA
Source: RNAcentral